Molecule: long non-coding RNA, 566 nt
Organism: Notolabrus celidotus (New Zealand spotty)
Lineage: Eukaryota; Metazoa; Chordata; Actinopteri; Labriformes; Labridae
Exons: 2
Source: RefSeq, a predicted model, not a curated record
UUAUAAAAGGCAGCUGGAGCCUUUUGUAGGCCUCAUGCUGCUGCUCCCGCCUGUGUGAAGCUCUUCCCUGUUGGGAUCCCCUUAAUAUUCCUGCAUUUAGCUGCAGCUCCAAGGUGGUAUAGACCUACUGCUGUUUUUGCCCCCCCUCAUUUUAGUUGUUUUGUCUCCGUACUGUUCCUUUAGUUUAGCAUUUUGUCCCUAGUUAGUUUCCUGGUUUGAUAUUGUUUCUUUUGAUAUUAGUUGCUUUACUUUAGAUUGUUUAACUAGUUUCCUUUUAGUUUUCUUCUUCUCUUCAAUUAUCGAUUAAGUUUGUUUACCAACUGGGUUUGUUUUUUUUGUUAUUUAAUUACUUUGUUUCUUUCAGAAGUUGAGCCCAUUAGUUUGGGAGGCUAGCCACCAAGGGUGAGGGCCCUCCACGUGUUUCAUGCGAGUUUGGCACUGGGUCACGAUAGGCUGCACUGAAUUGUAGUGAGGAUUGUGGUGUGGGUGUUUGUGCUGUACUUCACCAAGAUAAAUUAAUGACGUUUUGCCAUUCGUUCUUUUGAUUUAAUAAACUUUUGAACUUA